This 468-nucleotide ribosomal RNA is filed under the name uncultured bacterium. RNAcentral's name for it is "partial 16S ribosomal RNA". It matches the Rfam family "Bacterial small subunit ribosomal RNA", at positions 28 to 507 of the family's 1533-position model. The record is from RNAcentral.
GACGAACGCUGGCGGCGUGCUUAACACAUGCAAGUCGAACGGAAAGGCCCUGCUUUUGUGGGGUGCUCGAGUGGCGAACGGGUGAGUAACACGUGAGUAACCUGCCCUUGACUUUGUGAUAACUUCAGGAAACUGGGGCUAAUACCGGAUAGGAUCUCCUGCUGCAUGUUGGGGGUUGGAAAGUUUCGGCGGUUGGGGAUGGACUCGCGGCUUAUCAGCUUGUUUGUGGGGUAGUUGCUUACCAAGGCUUUGACGGGUAGCCGGCCUGAGAGGGUGACCGGCCACAUUGGGACUGAGAUACGGCCCAGAAUCCUACGGGAGGCAGCAGUGGGGAAUAUUGCACAAUGGGCGGAAGCCUGAUGCAGAAACGCCGCGUGCGGGAUGACGGCCUUCGGGUUGUAAACAGCUUUCGAAUGUGACGAAGAGUGAGUGACGGUAAUGGGUAAAGAAGCACCGGCUAACUACGUG